CCCUUAGAUGUUCUGGGCCGCACGCGCGCUACACUGACGAAGUCAGCGAGCAUGUCCUACGCCGACAGGUGCGGGGAAUCUUGUCAAACUUCGUCGUGAUGGGGAUUGAUUAUUGAAAUUCUUGAUCAUCAACGAGGAAUUCCUAGUAAACGCAGAUCAUCAAUCUGCAUUGAUUACGUCCCUGCCCUUUGUACACACCGCCCGUCGCACCUACCGAUUGGAUGGUCCGGUGAAGCCUCGGGAUUGUGGUUCUUGCCGCUUUAUUGUGGCGUGACCGCGAGAACUUGUCUAAACCUUAUCAUCUAGAGGAAGGUGAAGUCGUAACA
RNAcentral lists this ribosomal RNA (326 nucleotides) under uncultured eukaryote. RNAcentral describes it as "partial 18S ribosomal RNA". It matches the Rfam family "Eukaryotic small subunit ribosomal RNA", at positions 1470 to 1796 of the family's 1831-position model. The record is from RNAcentral.